CCUGGUGAUGAUAGCGGUGGGGCCACACCUCUUCCCAUUCCGAACAGAGAAGUUAAGCCCACAAGCGCCGAAGGUAGUGCGGGGGCAACUCCGUGUGAGAAUAGGUCGUCGCCGGGA
This 117-nucleotide ribosomal RNA is filed under the name candidate division WWE3 bacterium RIFCSPHIGHO2_01_FULL_40_23. Lineage: Bacteria; candidate division WWE3. The record is from RNAcentral. RNAcentral also lists the same sequence under 1 other name.